RNAcentral lists this unclassified non-coding RNA (848 nucleotides) under Bubalus bubalis (water buffalo). Its description in RNAcentral is "minisatellite-tagged sequence". The record is from RNAcentral. Lineage: Eukaryota; Metazoa; Chordata; Mammalia; Artiodactyla; Bovidae.
ACAGACAGACAGACACACACACACACACUGUCUCUCUCUCUCUCUCUCUCUCUCUCUCUCUCUCUGCCUCAGCACUGGAUGUAUAUAACCUGCUUUCUGCUCCUGAGAGUAGAAACCCUGAUUCCUACCUGAACAGCUUGCAGGCUGAGGGCUUCUCCUCUCCAGUCGAAGGGAAAGAGGAUCCUCUCAGUCUCAGCCGCCCUGCGUUGUCACUGUCAGUGGGCUGCGACUGCUUCUCCAGCAGCCCCAAGCUGGCUCUCUGCACCUCCCGGUGACUGCGGCUCUGUGUGGGGAGAGGGGACGGGCCGUGGCAUGUACAUCAGGUCGCUGGUCCGCCUCCAAACACCGUACUCCAGAGCCGGCUCCCAGUCCUGCAGGGCUGUGUGGGAAGCAGGAAGGCAGGCAGGGGGCUGAGCAUGCAGCCUGUAGGUCUCUCUCCAGCCCCGUUUUGAUCGGCAGAGGGGACCUGCCUUUAGACAGCUGCCUGCACCGACCCUGCCCACAGGGGUGCACACGGAGUACCCCUAGCCUUGGGCAACCAACAGCAGGCCCAGGGACACAGAGCUCAUGGCCAGCGGGGAAGGGAGAAAGAGACAGCAGACAGCGGCGGCAGCUCUCCUGGGUGUUAUUUUAACGUGGUUUGUCUUGGGGCAAAUGGCUGCACUGAAUGGACUACUAGCCCGUCUGGGCAGAUUCCUGCUUAUUUUGAGGCCUCAGUUGGCAGGGAAACAGCAGGUCAUGGCUCAGAGACACUCCUCUGCAAUCAGAAGACUGCUGGAUGAAAAGGAAUCCUUUUCUGUUCUGACUUCUGGCAUCUCUGCACAGGGUGUAGAUGUCUGUCUGUCUGU